AUAAGAUCUCGCUGUGGUUGCUUUCUCUCAUUCAUCUUAUCUUCUUUAUCUCUCCAACUACUCGUUUCUGGUGGUCGCCGCCAAUGUGGCGAGCUCGUCACCAUGGCCGCCGGCGACUCGAUGCGCCUCGUGUGCAUCGAUGGCGCGGGAUGCACCCCCUCUCCAUGGCCGCUCACAGCCACGGGCGCACUCGUCUCCUUGUCCGCCUCCGCCAGGAGCUGGAUGUGCGCCCUCUCCAUGGCCGCCAAAGCCAGGGUGUGCCAGUCGCCAUGGCCAAGCUGCAACCGGCCACGGGGGCGGCGAGUUCGUGCUGGAACCGAGGGGAUUUGCUAGAACCAGCUGUUGUACAUGCUACAAGGUCGAUGCCUCGCCGGAGGAAGCUACAUCCAGCGGUGAAGAGUGUUGCAUCCAACGCCAUUCGAUGUCGGGAGCUGCAAGCGUGCACGUCGGAGCUGCGACCGGCUACUAGUGGAGCUGCAAGAGGGGAGGCCAUUUUUUGUGGAUGUGUUCUCGUUUUGCCGAACCAAUUAUGCUUUUGCUGGAACCGAUGUAUUUUUUUACUGGAACCGAGAUAAUUUUUUGCUUCAACUAUUGCACAGCUCUUAAAUGCUCAUGUCGUUUUUUGCUGGGACCUAAGUUUGUUUGUGCCGGAAGCAUUUCUGAUUUUGCUUCAACUGACCACUCUACUUUGACCCGCGGAGAAAAAUUUUGCUGCUUCCAAUUUUUGCUGCUUGGCACUCUGACCCCGGCGGGCGGGAGACGCAGAGAUGCUACAACUAGCCACCCGAGCGCUAUUAUCACUGAAAGCUGAAUCUAGCAAUUUGUUCUGUAAUCAUCAUCUUUUUUUAACUGAAAACAGCUCCAAUUUUUGCUUUCACCAUGUUCUGUUUUUGUUGGAUCCAGCUAUAUUUUUUGCUUUCACCAUGACGAUAACUGCCAGCAACACGGCGACCGGCGGCCGGCAAUGACGACGGCGACCGGCGACCGGCGGGGAGGGCAGCAACAGGCGAGUGCGCCGGGCGGUGCUUCAAGGCUGGGCGCAUAGCUCAUCCAUGGAGGCACGAUGGAACUUUUUUUUUGUAAAAGAAGAAGCCUGACGAAAGAAGAUGAGGGAGUCGUACGGCUACACGUUAUUUUAUCGAACGAUGCUGGUACGACCGGCUCAAAGUUGGGCCUAGUAGUGCCCUAUUUUAUUCAUUACUACG
Molecule: ribosomal RNA, 1205 nt
Filed under: Triticum aestivum (bread wheat)
Lineage: Eukaryota; Viridiplantae; Streptophyta; Magnoliopsida; Poales; Poaceae
Description: partial small subunit ribosomal RNA
Source: RNAcentral